RNAcentral lists this transfer RNA (541 nucleotides) under uncultured cyanobacterium. Its description in RNAcentral is "partial 16S-23S ribosomal RNA intergenic spacer". The stretch from base 212 to 284 matches the Rfam family "tRNA". Lineage: Bacteria; Bacillati; Cyanobacteriota. The record is from RNAcentral.
CAGGGAGACAACAAAAUGUUUAAUAUUAUUAUUUUGUCACCUUAGGUCGAUCGGUAUCUCACGUUUUUAAUUUAUUAAGAAUUUCAUUUCCUAAGUUUUUCUAGGUCACACCCAUUAUUUUUCCUGGGCCAUUAGCUCAGGUGGUUAGAGCGCACCCCUGAUAAGGGUGAGGUCCCUGGUUCAAGUCCAGGAUGGCCCAUAUCUCUAUGUUGGGGGUAUAGCUCAGUUGGUAGAGCGCCUGCUUUGCAAGCAGGAUGUCAGCGGUUCGAGUCCGCUUACCUCCACUGAUUACCACCUCUUCCAUAACUUGUAGAAAGGAAAUUUUUUGAGUUGUGAUCAAAUUCUGAACGAAUCUAGCUUCCUAAUGAAAUCAUUAAGAUGCUGGACUCAUUGAAUUAAUUUCAUUGUUUUCAGAGAACCUUGACAACUGCAUAGAUUAUUUUUAAAGACAAUAAGCAUCUUUAAUGAUGCAGAUUUAUUAUUUGUGCGAAUGCAUUAAUAACAAUUCUAUUAAGCUGAUGCUUCAAUUUUUGAAGUUAUU